This 482-nucleotide ribosomal RNA is filed under the name uncultured Desulfobulbus sp. RNAcentral describes it as "bacterial SSU rRNA". It matches the Rfam family "Bacterial small subunit ribosomal RNA", at positions 907 to 1382 of the family's 1533-position model. Lineage: Bacteria; Pseudomonadati; Thermodesulfobacteriota; Desulfobulbia; Desulfobulbales; Desulfobulbaceae. The record is from RNAcentral.
UGAAUUGACGGGGGCCCGCACAAGCGGUGGAGUAUGUGGUUUAAUUCGAUGCAACGCGAAGAACCUUACCUGGUCUUGACAUCCCGGAGACCCUUAGGAAACUAGGGGGUGCUUCCAUCUGGAAGAAUCUGGAGACAGGUGCUGCAUGGCUGUCGUCAGCUCGUGUCGUGAGAUGUUGGGUUAAGUCCCGCAACGAGCGCAACCCUUGCCUUUAGUUGCCAGCAGUUCGGCUGGGCACUCUAAAGGGACUGCCGGUGUUAAACCGGAGGAAGGUGGGGAUGACGUCAAGUCCUCAUGGCCUUUAUGACCAGGGCUACACACGUACUACAAUGGCCGAUACAAAGGGCAGCGACACUGCGAGGUGAAGCCAAUCCCGUAAAAUCGGUCUCAGUCCGGAUUGGAGUCUGCAACUCGACUCCAUGAAGUUGGAAUCGCUAGUAAUCGUGGAUCAGCAUGCCACGGUGAAUACGUUCCCGGGCCUU